This 830-nucleotide ribosomal RNA is filed under the name uncultured bacterium. RNAcentral describes it as "bacterial SSU rRNA". It matches the Rfam family "Bacterial small subunit ribosomal RNA", at positions 1 to 863 of the family's 1533-position model. The record is from RNAcentral.
UUAGAGUUGAUUCCUGGUUCAGGAUGAACGCUGGCGGCGUGCCUAACACAUGCAAGUCGAGCGAUUUUCUUCGGGAAGAGAGCGGCGGACGGGUGAGUAACGCGUGGGUAACCUGCCUCAUACACAUGGAUUAACAUACCGAAAGGUAUGCUAAUACAAGAUGAUAUAAGAGAUUCGCAUGGAUUUCUUAUCAAAGCUCCGGCGGUAUGAGAUGGACCCGCGUCUGAUUAGCUAGUUGGUAAGGUAACGGCUUACCAAGGCGACGAUCAGUAGCCGACCUGAGAGGGUGAUCGGCCACAUUGGAACUGAGACACGGUCCAAACUCCUACGGGAGGCAGCAGUGGGGAAUAUUGCACAAUGGGCGAAAGCCUGAUGCAGCAACGCCGCGUGAGCGAUGAAGGCCUUCGGGUCGUAAAGCUCUGUCCUCAAGGAAGAUAAUGACGGUACUUGAGGAGGAAGCCCCGGCUAACUACGUGCCAGCAGCCGCGGUAAUACGUAGGGGGCUAGCGUUAUCCGGAUUUACUGGGCGUAAAGGGUGCGUAGGUGGUUUCUUAAGUCAGGAGUGAAAGGCUACGGCUCAACCGUAGUAAGCUCUUGAAACUGGGAAACUUGAGUGCAGGAGAGGAAAGUGGAAUUCCUAGUGUAGCGGUGAAAUGCGUAGAUAUUAGGAGGAACACCAGUAGCGAAGGCGGCUUUCUGGACUGUAACUGACACUGAGGCACGAAAGCGUGGGGAGCAAACAGGAUUAGAUACCCUGGUAGUCCACGCCGUAAACGACGAGUACUAGGUGUCGGGGGUUACCCCCCUCGGUGCCGCAGCUAACGCAUUAA